UUGCUGAUUUGAUAUACGGCUGGGAUUGAAUUUAUAUUUAGCUCAGUGAAUGGCCACAACGUACUGUACGUAAUUGGCUGGGAGCUCAGGGCGUCAAUAGGGAAUCUUGCAAGUUUUAGAUGCCUAAAGUCUGUUGAACACUUUUCUUUUAUUUUGAUCCGCCUGUGGAUCCCUUUGCAUACCGUUUGUAAUACUUUGAUAUUCUCAUUCGGUUGUAAUAAAAUUAUCUUUUGCUUCCGCUGUGC
Molecule: long non-coding RNA, 245 nt
Filed under: Helianthus annuus (common sunflower)
Lineage: Eukaryota; Viridiplantae; Streptophyta; Magnoliopsida; Asterales; Asteraceae
Description: sRNA HanXRQr2_Chr08g0328971
Source: RNAcentral